CCUACGGGUGGCAGCAGUGAGGAAUAUUGGUCAAUGGACGGAAGUCUGAACCAGCCAUGCCGCGUGCAGGAUGACGGCUCUAUGAGUUGUAAACUGCUUUUGUACAAGGGUAAACCUGAAUACGUGUACUCAGCUGAAUGUACUUUACGAAUAAGGAUCGGCUAACUCCGUGCCAGCAGCCGCGGUAAUACGGAGGAUCCAAGCGUUAUCCGGAUUUAUUGGGUUUAAAGGGUGCGUAGGCGGAUUGAUAAGUUAGAGGUGAAAGGUUCGGGCUUAACUCGGAAACUGCCUGUGAUACUGUUAAUCUAGAGAGUAGGUGAGGUAGGCGGAAUGUGUGGUGUAGCGGUGAAAUGCUUAGAGAUCACACAGAACACCGAUUGCGAAGGCAGCUUACCAAUCUAUAUCUGACGUUGAGGCACGAAAGCGUGGGGAGCAAACAGGAUUAGAUACCCUUGUAGUC
RNAcentral lists this ribosomal RNA (460 nucleotides) under uncultured bacterium. RNAcentral's name for it is "partial 16S ribosomal RNA". It matches the Rfam family "Bacterial small subunit ribosomal RNA", at positions 338 to 795 of the family's 1533-position model. The record is from RNAcentral.